Molecule: ribosomal RNA, 204 nt
Filed under: uncultured bacterium
Lineage: Bacteria
Description: partial 16S ribosomal RNA
Rfam family: Bacterial small subunit ribosomal RNA
Source: RNAcentral
CACGUAGGCGGAUAGGUCAGUCAGAUGUGAAGCCCGGAGCUUAACUCCGGAACUGCAUUUGAUACUACUUGUCUUGAGUAUGGUAGAGGGGGUGGAAUUCCCGGUGUAGAGGUGAAAUUCGUAGAUAUCGGGAGGAACACCAGAGGCGAAGGCGACCCCCUGGGCCAUAACUGACGCUGAGGUGCGAAAGCGUGGGAGCAAACA